CUCCACGCAACCUCUUCCUCUUCUCCGCCUCUUCCUUCACGGGCCAAUGCGGCUGCAGGGGCGAGAGGAUGGGGGCCAGCCGGUUUCUUUGCCGGAUUUGGACUUCUCCGCCUCUUCCUUCACGGGCCCUUGCGGCUGCAAGGCGAGAGGAUGGGGGCCAGCCGAUUUCUUCGCCAGAUCUGGAGCAGGGACAAGAGGAGAAGGAAGUUGGCCAUGGAUAAAUGAGGAGAGCGGGGAAGGAAGCCAGAGUGGAUCAGUGACGGUUGGAUCCCCGGAAAAAAAAUAACAGUAGGAUACAAGACGGAGAUGAGCGGCGGCGAUGGGCGAGGCGGCGGGAGGCGACGGCGACGAGUAAAUCAGUCGCCUACAGAUAAAAGAUCAUUUCUGUCGCCAGAGACCUCAUUGGCACAUCUCAAGAGGAUGCUAUUAUCUGCAUCAGUGACGACGAUGGUGAGCUGGCAGCCCACACCAAGCAUCCUACACGCUCUGCACAUGUUAUAUGCUAAUAAAUGGUACACCUACUUCACUAUACAGCAUUCUCCUAUCCAUAGUGGCCCAAGAUUGUAGAAUUAUUUAGCUUCAUAUUUUGCGUCUCAUGAAAGAACACAAUUAGGUUAUGAAAUCAUUUUUUUCCUACUUCUAAAAAGAUUUUGUUUUAUUGGCUGCUAAUAAUUAUGUUUCUAAAUAGAACCCCGUUGUUGUUUAUUAUAUAUGUAGGUUGAUUUAAACCAGAUAAUGGUCAUUUUUCCCUCUCUCUAUAUCCAGGGAAAAUUGUAUAUUCUGUGAAGAACUAUCGAUGCAUAUUUGGCAGCUUUUGAAUCCUAUGAACAACUUGAUGGUUCAAUAUGUUUCACUUUUGUAUAAUUUCUGCAGAAGCCUAUUUAUCGUUCUGGCACUUUUUGUAUAUUAUACUUAUCCAUGUCAGUGGGUUUUGAACAAUUAGUUGAUUUUGCACAGGACUUUGUAUGUGCACAUGGGCAUUUCGUAUGCAAGGUGCACAACUUUGUAUUUGUGUGGUAAUAAAGCAAGACGGUCUGCUCGAUGGCUGUGCGAGUGGUGUUCCUUUGUUUGGAGAAUUUAUCUGUGGUGUGAUCUGUUUUCAUUUCAACAAUAUCUAAUAAAAGAAAGUAUUGUGCUACCUUUGGGCAGUACAAUAUCUAAUAAAGUUGUGAUUUUGAUCGUGUAUCACUACAGGUUGUUGUUGAGAAGUCUAAAACAUAUAAAGGGAAACCUAAGAAAAAACUUUGAACCCCAAAGUUAACAAAGCUGAUAAUCUAUUUCUCUCAUUAUAACUAACUUGGCCAUAGAGAAAUAUUUAGGUUCCUAUGUUCUGCUUGCCAUCUGAUCCAUGGCUAGCUAGAUGUUCUGCCACUGUCACUCUAGAGCAUGUCUCUUCCACGACAAGUUCAGUCUAUUCUAGAUCUGGGUCCUCUCUGGUUCCUUCGACAAUGACCUCAACACCAUCGAAGCCAGGCCGCAGGUACUAAGAAACAACACAUGCUCUCUUGUUUGCUACUUCCUCUAAAGCGAUGCGUUUCUGAAACGGUGAAACCUCUUGCAUUUCUGAAACGGUGAGACCUCUUGCAUUACCCGAAUAGAUGAUCACAUCACUUGUAGCAUGAGUAUAGGCUAAUUUUUUUUAGUAUCCAUCUUAUAUGAGUACAUUUUGUUUAUCACACAACACAUGACACAUGUAAAUCUAGAAGUUUAGGAACUAAGAGCUUUUUUAUUUUGAGGGAAUUGUGAACUAUGAGCUCCUAGGUUAGCUAUGAAUAGGAUUUUUAGUUGGUCAUGUACAUUGGAUAGGCUCAUUGGAGGCACCUAAACCAGUCACUUGUAUGUAUUGACCCAUGCAAUUUUUGCUUAGAUGGGAUCUGCUUUGUUGUCACAGAAGACACACAAUGAAAUAUACAUUUUACUCAUAUCAGAUGCUAUUUGUGGUAGUUCAAGCAAGCUAUUAGUUUGUAAUUCACUGAAAAUGAUUUCAUCUUUUACAAAAGGACAUAAAAGUACUACUAGCAUUUAUGUUCUGGUUCAUAUCCACAUAUUAACUCAGCAAAUGCUUAGAGUAUAAAAGUAGGCAGGUUUGUCUUGCUUUCCGUAAAUGAAAGCUAGCCUUAUAGUGAACCAUUUCACCUGUGCAGGAUGCAUACAUGAGUUCUACACAAGAUGCACCCUUUACCUUGAUAAAUCUGUUUUGUUGUCUGACAACAACAAAAUGUUGUUUGCUUUUGUAGGUUGAACCUGGGAUGAAUGAUUGUUUCUUAUAGGCUGGUGUUUUCAAAAGUGCAAAGGCACCACAAACUAUGUCAACAAAAAGGUGCAGAGAUCCUAGAGACACAGGAAAUAAGAGUACACCUGAUUCAGAUGGGGAGAAUGGCUCGGUUUCCCCGAUAGCUCUAUUGAGAGCAGAAAAUAAACCCAAAGACAAGGAUGAGAUUGGUUUGCCACAUAGCGGGUCGACAAGCUCCAAAAGAAACAGAUUGGUUUGCUAAAGAAACUUGUAGAAAAAGAGGAGGCUUUGAGGUCUGCCAAGAGUGUUGUCGUAUAUUCAACAAUUUUUGGGUUGAGACGCCAAGUUGUUGAGAAAGAAGCUUUGAUCAAAUAUGCCAAUUCGCACCACCACCACCACAACAAGCAUCACCACGAUGAGAUCCAACGGCUGCUACCGAAGGAACUCGAGCCAAAGGCUUCAGAAGGUGGGUGAAACCUGAAGGAUCACGGGAUCUACACCUCUUGGUGCAAAUAACCUUUCACUUUUGAUAUUUACUUUCUAUUGAAACUGCAAAAUGUUGUUCUAGGGCUGGAUAUCUAAAUGUUGAUAUCUGCAUGCUUGUAAAUUUAUACCAUGAAUCAUUUUUAUGCUACUACUUUUCUUCCAGAAUUUGUAUCUCUUUCGUCCAAAUUGUUGUAAUGUGCAUUGCAUUUCUACCGCUUUAUCUUAUUGUUACGUUUGCUUC
Molecule: long non-coding RNA, 2960 nt
Organism: Triticum dicoccoides
Lineage: Eukaryota; Viridiplantae; Streptophyta; Magnoliopsida; Poales; Poaceae
Exons: 3
Source: RefSeq, a predicted model, not a curated record